UACGUAGGGUGCGAGCGUUAAUCGGAAUUACUGGGCGUAAAGCGUGCGCAGGCGGUUCGUUGUGUCCGUCGUGAAAGCCCCGGGCUUAACCUGGGAACUGCGAUGGAAACUAGCGAGCUGGAGUGUGGCAGAGGGGGGUGGAAUUCCGCGUGUAGCGGUGAAAUGCGUAGAGAUGUGGAGGAACACCGAUGGCGAAGGCAGCCUCCUGGGCCAACACUGACGCUCAUGCACGAAAGCGUGGGGAGCAAACAGG
This 253-nucleotide ribosomal RNA is filed under the name uncultured bacterium. Its description in RNAcentral is "partial 16S ribosomal RNA". It matches the Rfam family "Bacterial small subunit ribosomal RNA", at positions 524 to 776 of the family's 1533-position model. The record is from RNAcentral.